Long non-coding RNA from Mytilus californianus (California mussel), 429 nucleotides. RefSeq lists it as uncharacterized. Lineage: Eukaryota; Metazoa; Mollusca; Bivalvia; Mytilida; Mytilidae. The transcript is spliced from 2 exons. The record is from RefSeq and is a predicted model, not a curated record.
AUAGCAAAUACAGAAAUGAGAGUGGACAUGGAAAAUUUCAAAGGAGAAAAGAGGUAUGCAAAAUACUCAACAUUCAAGGUUGGAGAUGCUGGGUCGAAAUAUAAACUGACAAUUGGUGGAUUUUCGGGAAAUGCUGGCGAUGCAUUUCCACAUCACAAUGGAAUGAAGUUCACAACACCUGACCAAGACAAUGAUCUUGCGAAUUUCAAUUGUGCGGUACACUUUAGCAGAGUUGGUGGUGGGUGGUGGUUCGGUAAAUGUGACAACGUCUGCUUCACAUUUUCAUAUGCAAACAACAAGAAAGGUCUGACUGGAGAAAAUCUUAUACAGUGGGCAUAUUGGAAAGGUUCCGAAUAUUCUCUGAAAUAUGCUGCCAUGAUGAUUCGAAGAGGUUAAUUUAUUGAUGAGAAAAAUAAAUAUUGAAUCCUU